CCUACGGGUGGCUGCAGUGAGGAAUAUUGGUCAAUGGGCGCGAGCCUGAACCAGCCAAGUCGCGUGAGGGAAGACGGUCCUAUGGAUUGUAAACUUCUUUUGUCGGGGAGUAAAACACGCUAUGCGUGGCGUCUUGAGAGUACCCGAUGAAAAAGCAUCGGCUAACUCCGUGCCAGCAGCCGCUGUAAUACGGAGGAUGCGAGCGUUAUCCGGAUUUAUUGGGUUUAAAGGGUGCGUAGGCGGAAGAUUAAGUCAGCGGUAAAAUUGAGAGGCUCAACCUCUUCGAGCCGUUGAAACUGGUUGUCUUGAGUGAGCGAGAAGUAUGCGGAAUGCGUGGUGUAGCGGUGAAAUGCAUAGAUAUCACGCAGAACUCCGAUUGCGAAGGCAGCAUACCGGCGCUCAACUGACGCUCAUGCACGAAAGUGUGGGUAUCGAACAGGAUUAGAUACCCUUGUAGUC
Molecule: ribosomal RNA, 459 nt
Filed under: uncultured bacterium
Lineage: Bacteria
Description: partial 16S ribosomal RNA
Rfam family: Bacterial small subunit ribosomal RNA
Source: RNAcentral